Cucurbita moschata (crookneck pumpkin) is the source of this 1068-nucleotide long non-coding RNA. RefSeq lists it as uncharacterized. Lineage: Eukaryota; Viridiplantae; Streptophyta; Magnoliopsida; Cucurbitales; Cucurbitaceae. The record is from RefSeq and is a predicted model, not a curated record. The transcript has 3 exons.
AACUGUACAGGGCCAUUGACAUGGAGCUGGGAGUAAAGAUAAUCUAGCCAGAUAACUUGGCAUGCUUUUGAGCUGAUGGAACAACGAACUGGCCAUGGAAUCAUCAAGCGACCGUGCCAAUGCCAUCUGUGUAAAGAAUGUUCUUCACAGGUGGAGGAAUCCAAGCUGGAUUAUUGGCAUUCUGACCUUCACUUUCUUCUCAAAUGCAAAUCCCAGCUUCAUUGCUGCCCAAAUGCUAUCAAAACUGGUCUAACUGACCAGUGAAAAUCCUCAAGAUGUUGUUACUCAAGUGCUGAAAUUAACUGCCUCGACCGGUCAUACUAUGCCGAGUUCCCGACGAACGAACCAAGCUUUCGAUGCACGUUUUCCCUGCAGAUGCCAGCUUGAUGUGGGAGAACCACCCUCCCAAAAAGACCACCAUCUUUGGCUCGUGGUGUUUGAAGAGUUGGUUGUUGCCAUGAUGUUGAAUCCUUCCACUCUCUAUAUCGUCCUGAUCAUAGUUUCUUGAUAGAGAUGAUGUCCUGAUUGUUUAGAGCAAAAAGGAUCUAAGGAUCAGUAAAAAGUGAUGAACGAAUGUGUUGUAUGCAGCAUGAGGCUUAACUCAUUGUUGAUAAGCAACAAAUGUGUAUUAGUGUUACCUAUUGUGCAGUUUUGGGGAAACCUGGCCUUUCUUUGAUUGCUUUCUUAUAACAUUGUAGCCAGUUGUGACAUGCCGGACAAAUUGAAGCUGAUAUGUUGAAACAAGGAAAUUCUAUGAACAUAUGCAAUGACAUUCCUGAUGGUUACUAAAUUCACAAUAAUGUAUCACAAUGAUCAACAACAGACCUCAUCCCAAUUUGAGAUUCCACGUCGGUUAGAGAGAGGAACGAAACAUUCCUUAUAAGGGUGUGGAAACCUCUUCCUAACAGACGCGAUUUAAAACUGUGAGCCUGAUGGUGAUACCUAAUGGGUUAAAACGGACAAUAACUGCUAGCUGUGAGUUUGGGCUAUUACAAAUGGUAUUAGAGCCAGACAUUAGGUGGUGUGUCAGCGAGGACGCUGGACCUCAAUGGAGGUGGAUUGUGAGAU